AUUGAACGCUGGCGGCAUGCCUUACACAUGCAAGUCGAACGGCAGCACGGGAGCAAUCCUGGUGGCGAGUGGCGAACGGGUGAGUAGUACAUCGGAACGUGCCUAGUAGUGGGGGAUAGCCCGGCGAAAGCCGGAUUAAUACCGCAUACGACCUGAGGGUGAAAGCGGGGGAUCGCAAGACCACGCGCUAUCAGAGCGGCCGAUGCCAGAUUAGGUAGUUGGUGGGGUAAAAGCCUACCAAGCCGACGAUCUGUAGCUGGUCUGAGAGGACGACCAGCCACACUGGGACUGAGACACGGCCCAUACUCCUACGGGAGGCAGCAGUGGGGAAUUUUGGACAAUGGGCGCAAGCCUGAUCCAGCCAUGCCGCGUGCAGGAAGAAGGCCUUCGGGUUGUAAACUGCUUUUGUCAGGGAAGAAAAGUUCUGGGCUAAUACCCCGGAGCGAUGACGGUACCUGAAGAAUAAGCACCGGCUAACUACGUGCCAGCAGCCGCCGUAA
This 500-nucleotide ribosomal RNA is filed under the name uncultured bacterium. RNAcentral's name for it is "partial 16S ribosomal RNA". It matches the Rfam family "Bacterial small subunit ribosomal RNA", at positions 29 to 523 of the family's 1533-position model. The record is from RNAcentral.